Molecule: transfer RNA, 67 nt
Filed under: Somatochlora hineana
Lineage: Eukaryota; Metazoa; Arthropoda; Insecta; Odonata; Corduliidae
Description: tRNA-Pro
Source: RNAcentral
CAGAGAGUAGUUUAAAUAAAAAUUUUAAUUUUGGAGAUUAAUGAUGAGUAUAAUUAAUUUUCUCUGA